UGGGCGAUUCAUGUUAUAUGUUUUGUUGCAGAUUCUAAUAGCACUUGUGUUUUAUGCAUCGGGGUCCUACCAAAAUUUGAUUGGACAGAGUGCCCUUCAUAAUGUUUCUCAAAUAACUGUGUCGAGAUCUAUAAAGGAAGUAACAGAGGCACUCAAUAAAAUUUACCAUAAAUAUAUUAAAUGGCCUACACAAUCUGAUGAAAGAAAUAUUAUAAAGGCGAAGUUCUAUCAAAAAUUUGGAUUUCCUGGUAUCCUGGGUUGUAUUGAUGGCACCCAUGUAGCAAUACUGAGGCCGCACAUACAUGAGGAACGGUAAAUAGGAAGGGCUUCCAUUCCCUUAAUGUUAUGAUAAUUUGCGAUUCAGAUUUAAAUAUUUUAUGUGUGGAUGCAAGUACCCCAGGCUCUGCUCAUGAUUCCACUGUAUGGCAGAGUCAUCCACUCAGUCUACACUUAAAACAAAUUACAGAAAAUACUAAUGAACAAGUAUUUUUAUUAGGUAUUACAAUAUUUUUUGAUGAAUAAUAUCCUAAGACUUUUAUCAUACGGACUGCCUCGUUGGCCGAGUGGUUGCA
Molecule: long non-coding RNA, 572 nt
Organism: Spodoptera frugiperda (fall armyworm)
Lineage: Eukaryota; Metazoa; Arthropoda; Insecta; Lepidoptera; Noctuidae
Exons: 3
Source: RefSeq, a predicted model, not a curated record